GACGAACGCUGGCGGCGUGCCUAAUACAUGCAAGUCGAACGCAGUGGGGACGGGUGAGUAACACGUGGGUAACCUCCCAUCAGAGGGGAUAACACUUGGAAACAGGUGCUAAACCGAUACUGAUGGAUGGACCCGCUGUGCAUUAGCUAGUUGUGGAGGUAACGGCUCACCAAGGCCACGAUGCAUAGCCGACCUGAGAGGGUGAGCGGCAAAACGGGGACUGAGACACGGCCCAGACUCCUACGGGAGGCAGCAGUUGGGAAUCUGCGGCUAUGGACGAAGGUCUGAACGAGGGACGGCGCGUGAGGGAAGAAGGUUUUCGGUUCUUAAAACACUGUUGAUAGAGAGGGGGUAUCUAAUCAGAAAGCCCCGGCUAACUACGUGCCAGCAGCCGCGGUAAUAC
This 403-nucleotide ribosomal RNA is filed under the name uncultured bacterium. RNAcentral's name for it is "partial 16S ribosomal RNA". It matches the Rfam family "Bacterial small subunit ribosomal RNA", at positions 28 to 526 of the family's 1533-position model. The record is from RNAcentral.